GCAUUUGCCGAGAAGCUGUUAAGGUGGAACAAGGCCCUUUCAGUGCAAAAGGAUGAAACAGGGAGUAUGCCUCUUCACUUCGCCGCAGCCAAGUCGCGGAGGGAUGGCUGACCAAAAGUCUGCCUCAAGCUGCUCGAAGCAAACCCAGCCGCGUUGUAUGAGCCAGACCAUCGUGGGUCAUAUCCAAUACACAUAGCUACCUCAGUGGGCGCGACCAGGAAGGUUCUCCUGUUUCUUAACAGGCACCCUGGCAGUGCCGGCCUGCGCGAUGCACGUGGCCGGACUUUCCUACAUGUCGCCGUCGAGAACAUGGCUAUGGGGAUCCUGUAUCAUGCUACCAGUGAUAAGUCGCUAGAAUGGAUUCUCAACAUGCGCGACAAGGAGGGGAACACGGCGAUGCACCUUGCAGUCCAAGGUGGGAGACUUCGAGUGUUCUGCCGUCUGCUUGGGAAUCUGAAGGUAGGCCUGGAUUUGCCAAAUGCGAAAGGGGAAACCUGUCUGGAUUUAUCACGCUAUAAGGUUCCUCCAGGAUUGUAUUACAGUCAGAACUCGGAAGCAUGUAUCCGUCGUGCACUCGCGAUGGUCGGUGCUCGGAGCGGCACUUCUCGCGAGGAUCACUUCGAGGAAAAAUACGAAAGAAAUCACCGGCUAAAACCGGAAGAGAAAAACAUAGAAUCAGAUAGCAUGAAGGAUGCAACACAGACUUUGAGCAUCGGGUCUGUGCUGAUAGCGACAGUGACGUUUGGAGCCACAUUCGCACUGCCUGGUGGUUACAAGGCGGACGAUCGUCCCAACGGUGGCUCACCGACGCUCGCAGGCACGUACGCCUUCGACGCGUUCAUGAUGGCCAACACGCUGGCCUUCAUCUGCUCCUCGAUGGCCACGGUCGGCUUCAUGUUCUCCGGGACUCCCAUGGUUAACAGGAGGAGCAGAAAGUUCCACCUUCGCUCCUCCGUGCAUUUCAUGGAGGCUUCGGUCACGAGCCUGACGGCCGCGUUCGCUCUCGGGGUGUACUUGGUGCUGGCUCCAGUCGCUUACAAGACCGCCAUUGCCAUUUGUGUCGUUAGCCCUUUUGCUUUGCUUUGGAAAAAUGUUGAUUAUUGGAAGAGAUGGAUUCGUUUUGCUGGACCCUUGCUGGCUAGGAACAGGCCAUGUUGGACCUUGCAAGAGUUUGCACGGCAAUUCGUGUGGAGCAUACUGCUUGAACUUUGGCCCCUCGUGAUAAUCUUCUGUUGGGCAGCAUUCGCAAAUACUGGUACACACUUUUAA
Molecule: ribosomal RNA, 1269 nt
Filed under: Triticum aestivum (bread wheat)
Lineage: Eukaryota; Viridiplantae; Streptophyta; Magnoliopsida; Poales; Poaceae
Description: partial small subunit ribosomal RNA
Source: RNAcentral